Molecule: ribosomal RNA, 304 nt
Filed under: uncultured bacterium
Lineage: Bacteria
Description: bacterial SSU rRNA
Rfam family: Bacterial small subunit ribosomal RNA
Source: RNAcentral
GACGAACGCUGGCGGCGUGCCUAACACAUGCAAGUCGAACGGGGUACUCCUUCGGGGGUACUUAGUGGCGAACGGGUGAGUAACGCGUGAGGAACCUACCUUCCAGUGGGGGACAACAGUUGGAAACGACUGCUAAUACCGCAUAACACAACGAGACCGCAUGAUCUUGUUGUCAAAGCUUUAUGUGCUGGAAGAUGGCCUCGCGUCUGAUUAGCUAGUUGGUGGGGUAACGGCCUACCAAGGCGACGAUCAGUAGCCGGACUGAGAGGUUGAACGGCCACAUUGGGACUGAGAUACGGCCCAG